UAUACUUUGCAGGUUAAGAUUUCUGUUUGU
This 30-nucleotide non-coding RNA is filed under the name Mus musculus (house mouse). The record is from RNAcentral. Lineage: Eukaryota; Metazoa; Chordata; Mammalia; Rodentia; Muridae.